RNAcentral lists this ribosomal RNA (427 nucleotides) under uncultured bacterium. RNAcentral's name for it is "bacterial SSU rRNA". It matches the Rfam family "Bacterial small subunit ribosomal RNA", at positions 355 to 774 of the family's 1533-position model. The record is from RNAcentral.
UAGGGAAUAUUGGACAAUGGGGGCAGCCCUGAUCCAGCCAUGCCGCGUGAGUGAAGAAGGCCCUCGGGUUGUAAAGCUCUUUUGUCCGGAAAGAAAAGCAUUCGGUGAAUACCCGGAUGUUCUGACGGUACCGGAAGAAUAAGCACCGGCUAACUUCGUGCCAGCAGCCGCGGUAAUACGAAGGGUGCAAGCGUUACUCGGAAUUACUGGGCGUAAAGCGUGCGUAGGUGGUUGUUUAAGUCUGAUGUGAAAGCCCUGGGCUCAACCUGGGAAUGGCAUUGGAAACUGGGCAGCUAGAGUGCGGUAGAGGGUAGUGGAAUUCCCGGUGUAGCAGUGAAAUGCGUAGAGAUCGGGAGGAACAUCUGUGGCGAAGGCGACUGCCUGGACCAGCACUGACACUGAGGCACGAAAGCGUGGGGAGCAAACA